Molecule: long non-coding RNA, 1459 nt
Filed under: Betta splendens (Siamese fighting fish)
Lineage: Eukaryota; Metazoa; Chordata; Actinopteri; Anabantiformes; Osphronemidae
Description: lncRNA (ENSBSLG00000012045.1)
Source: RNAcentral
UGGGAGAGACAAGUGUAACUUUAUUGAAUAUUUUGUCCACACAGGUAACAGGUAAAGGUAGAUUUAACAGAUUAACACACGUUUUGCCUAAUUGUCUUUCAAUUUUUUUAAAAUGUACUUUACAGAGUAAAAUGUGACAAUUUAUACCUAUGCAGUGAGAAAAAGAAAAUAGGAACAACAACACUUCGUAUAAGAGCAGGUUCAAUGUCGAUGGAUUUACAUUUUUCCUACAAUCUGUCGGUCCCUAAACAGACCUGCCUCGUUGCGCACCGUCGUCUGUUUGACCGCGGAGACGGACAGCAGCGGGCGAUGACGUCACAGUUGAGUCCCGCUGAGCGCGGAGAAAGUGAAGUACUGAACUUAAAGGUAAACCAGCAUCCACUCCAGCGGUUGAUCCGACUGAGCUUCGGGUCAAAAUGUGGGACAGUCAGUUGUCUGAAAACGUGUCUCGGUGAGUGACGUCAUACUUUUUAUUUACAUCUGUGUUUGUGCAGUUUGUGGAUAAUAGUCCUCAUCUAUGGUACAGAAACAGUAUCUUCUGUGUAACUGUUAGGCUUCAUGACUGGCCAGCAGUUAAAUUAUCCCCCAUUUUGCAGUGAUCUCCAGGAUUCUCUAAACGCCUGUGUUUACUUGUUGUAGCAGCUUUGUUGCUUUUGUUCUGUCUUUUCAAUGGAUCCAUUUCUGGUUUAUGACAUUAUAAACACACCACAGUCUCCCUGUUGACCUUUAAAAUGGAAAUUUUUUAAGUAGAGUAUAAUGCAGCAAUAGGCAGCCAUUAUGUGUGCUGCCAACUGUGGGCAGGGUUUUAUUCUAGCCAAAUUCAUUUAAAGGACUUUUCCUGAUAAAAGCACCUUGAACUAGAGAUAGUGAACGCAGCAGCGGAAUCCUGUAGCGCAGUAGUGGAUUAAACCUCCGGACUCCCGUCGCCCAGUGGCACGUGCCACUGGCAUGUCCCUGUUAUAGAACCGUGGCAAAAUGUUUAUCGCGUACAAUUUUAUAAUUUUUAUAUUCCUAUUUUGCACUUUAGUAUGUUCUUGCUUGAGUUCUUUGAACGUGUGUAUUGUGCUCUACUUUUUAAAUUCUGCAGCUCUAGACUUGUUGACAUUUUCAGUGACUUAUUUAAAUAUUUGGAAUUAUAUUAUGUUAUACAACAGCAUGUGUUGCAAACUAUAGUGAUAUCAUAAUAUUGAUGAAUAUUGACUGAAGCUACAUGAUGGAAGUACAUGGAAGUAAUAACGUUAUGGAAGGUCUCAUUGAUUGUGAGUCAGGUCAUAGACAUUAAUUUAAGAUGUAUCCGAUAUAAUGCUGCUCAUUACAUUGUAGAAUCGGCUUGGGAAAAACUGUGCCGGGGGUAAUGUGAGGUCAGUGAAUUUCAUUAACCAGUAGAAAGAAGAGUAAAAAUGUCCAACACAAACCACUGUAAUAGUUCUAAUAGAAGGGUCAGAGGUCAGUCAAAGUG